UGGCGGACGGGUGAGUAACGCGUGAGGAACCUGCCUUUCAGUGGGGGACAACAGUUGGAAACGACUGCUAAUACCGCAUAAUGUAUUCUGACCGCAUGAUCGGAAUACCAAAGAUUUAUUGCUGAAAGAUGGCCUCGCGUCUGAUUAGAUAGUUGGUGAGGUAACGGCCCACCAAGUCGACGAUCAGUAGCCGGACUGAGAGGUUGAACGGCCACAUUGGGACUGAGAUACGGCCCAGACUCCUACGGGAGGCAGCAGUGGGGAAUAUUGGGCAAUGGGGGAAACCCUGACCCAGCAACGCCGCGUGAAGGAAGAAGGCUUUCGGGUUGUAAACUUCUUUUACCAGGGACGAAGGACGUGACGGUACCUGGAGAAAAAGCCACGGCUAACUACGUGCCAGCAGCCGCGGUAAUACGUAGGUGGCAAGCGUUGUCCGGAUUUACUGGGUGUAAAGGGCGUGUAGGCGGAGAAGCAAGUCAGAAGUGAAAUCCAUGGGCUUAACCCAUGAACUGCUUUUGAAACUGUUUCCCUUGAGUAUCGGAGAGGCAGGCGGA
Molecule: ribosomal RNA, 554 nt
Filed under: uncultured bacterium
Lineage: Bacteria
Description: bacterial SSU rRNA
Rfam family: Bacterial small subunit ribosomal RNA
Source: RNAcentral